GACGAACGCUGGCGGCGUGCUUAACACAUGCAAGUCGAACGGAAAGGCCCUGCUUUUGUGGGGUGCUCGAGUGGCGAACGGGUGAGUAACACGUGAGUAACCUGCCCUUGACUUUGGGAUAACUUCAGGAAACUGGGGCUAAUACCGGCUAGGAGCUCCUGCUGCAUGGUGGGGGUUGGACAGUUUCGUCGGUUGGGGAUGGACUCGCGGCUUAUCAGCUUGUGGGUGGGGUAGUGGCUUACCAAGGCUUUGACGGGUAGCCGGCCUGAGAGGGUGACCGGCCACAUUGGGACUGAGAGACGGCCCAGACUCCUAUGGGAGGCAGCAGUGGGGAAUAUUGCACAAUGGGCGGAAGCCUGAUGCAGCAACGCCGCGUGCGGGAUGACGGCCUUCGGGUUGUAAACCGCUUUCGCCUGUGACGAAGCGUGAGUGACGGUAAUGGGUAAAGAAGCACCGGCUAACUACGUG
This 468-nucleotide ribosomal RNA is filed under the name uncultured bacterium. RNAcentral describes it as "partial 16S ribosomal RNA". It matches the Rfam family "Bacterial small subunit ribosomal RNA", at positions 28 to 507 of the family's 1533-position model. The record is from RNAcentral.